RNAcentral lists this ribosomal RNA (483 nucleotides) under uncultured bacterium. Its description in RNAcentral is "bacterial SSU rRNA". It matches the Rfam family "Bacterial small subunit ribosomal RNA", at positions 30 to 507 of the family's 1533-position model. The record is from RNAcentral.
UUGAACGCUGGCGGCAGGCCUAACACAUGCAAGUCGAACGGCAGCACGGGAGCAAUCCUGGUGGCGAGUGGCGAACGGGUGAGUAAUAUAUCGGAACGUGCCCGGUCGUGGGGGAUAACGUAGCGAAAGCUACGCUAAUACCGCAUACGAUCUACGGAUGAAANCGGGGGAUCGCAAGACCUCGCGCGAUUGGAGCGGCCGAUAUCAGAUUAGGUAGUUGGUGAGGUAAAGGCUCACCAAGCCGACGAUCUGUAGCUGGUCUGAGAGGACGACCAGCCACACUGGGACUGAGACACGGCCCAGACUCCUACGGGAGGCAGCAGUGGGGAAUUUUGGACAAUGGGCGCAAGCCUGAUCCAGCAAUGCCGCGUGCAGGAUGAAGGCCUUCGGGUUGUAAACUGCUUUUGUACGGAACGAAACGGUGAGCUCUAAUACAGUUUGCUAAUGACGGUACCGUAAGAAUAAGCACCGGCUAACUACGUG